AUUAAACGCUGGCGGCAGGCCUAACACUGCAAGUCGAGCGGUGAAGGGAGCUUGCUCCUGGAUUAAGCGGCGGACGGUUGAGUAAUGCCUAGGAAUCUGCCUGGUAGUGGGGGAUAACGUCCGGAAACGGGCGCUAAUACCGCUACGUCCUGAGGGAGAAAGUGGGGGAUCUUCGGACCUCACGCUAUCAGAUGAGCCUAGGUCGGAUUAGCUAGUUGGUGGGGUAAAGGCCUACCAAGGCGACGAUCCGUAACUGGUCUGAGAGGAUGAUCAGUCACACUGGAACUGAGACACGGUCCAGACUCCUACGGGAGGCAGCAGUGGGGAAUAUUGGACAAUGGGCGAAAGCCUGAUCCAGCCAUGCCGCGUGUGUGAAGAAGGUCUUCGGAUUGUAAAGCACUUUAAGUUGGGAGGAAGGGCAGUAAGUUAAUACCUUGCUGUUUUGACGUUACCAACAGAAUAAGCACCGGCAA
Molecule: ribosomal RNA, 473 nt
Filed under: Pseudomonas aeruginosa
Lineage: Bacteria; Pseudomonadati; Pseudomonadota; Gammaproteobacteria; Pseudomonadales; Pseudomonadaceae
Description: bacterial SSU rRNA
Rfam family: Bacterial small subunit ribosomal RNA
Source: RNAcentral